AGUGAACGCUGGCGGUAGGCCUAACACAUGCAAGUCGAACGGCAGCACAGUAAGAGCUUGCUCUUACGGGUGGCGAGUGGCGGACGGGUGAGGAAUACAUCGGAAUCUACUUUUUCGUGGGGGAUAACGUAGGGAAACUUACGCUAAUACCGCAUACGACCUACGGGUGAAAGCAGGGGAUCUUCGGACCUUGCGCGAUUGAAUGAGCCGAUGUCGGAUUAGCUAGUUGGCGGGGUAAAGGCCCACCAAGGCGACGAUCCGUAGCUGGUGUGAGAGGAUGAUCAGCCACACUGGAACUGAGACACGGUCCAGACUCCUACGGGAGGCAGCAGUGGGGAAUAUUGGACAAUGGGCGCAAGCCUGAUCCAGCCAUACCGCGUGGGUGAAGAAGGCCUUCGGGUUGUAAAGCCCUUUUGUUGGGAAAGAAAAGCGGCAGGUUAAUACCCCGCUGUUCUGACGGUACCCAAAGAAUAAGCACCGGCUAACUUCGUG
This 492-nucleotide ribosomal RNA is filed under the name uncultured bacterium. RNAcentral's name for it is "partial 16S ribosomal RNA". It matches the Rfam family "Bacterial small subunit ribosomal RNA", at positions 29 to 507 of the family's 1533-position model. The record is from RNAcentral.